UACAGAGGGUGCUAGCGUUGUUCGGAAUUAUUGGGCGUAAAGGGCGCGUAGGCGGCUCGGUAUGUCGGGUGUGAAAGCCCACCUCUUAAAGGUGGAAUUGCAUUCGAAACUACCGAGCUAGAGUACCGGAGAGGAUGGUGGAAUUCCUGGUGUAGAGGUGAAAUUCGUAGAUAUCAGGAGGAACACCGGUGGCGAAGGCGGCCAUCUGGACGGAUACUGACGCUGAGGCGCGAAAGCGUGGGGAUCAAACAGG
This 253-nucleotide ribosomal RNA is filed under the name uncultured bacterium. Its description in RNAcentral is "partial 16S ribosomal RNA". It matches the Rfam family "Bacterial small subunit ribosomal RNA", at positions 524 to 776 of the family's 1533-position model. The record is from RNAcentral.